RNAcentral lists this ribosomal RNA (388 nucleotides) under uncultured bacterium. RNAcentral describes it as "bacterial SSU rRNA". It matches the Rfam family "Bacterial small subunit ribosomal RNA", at positions 28 to 417 of the family's 1533-position model. The record is from RNAcentral.
GACGAACGCUGGCGGCGUGCUUAACACAUGCAAGUUGAGCGGUAAGGCCCUUUCGGGGGUACACGAGCGGCGAACGGGUGAGUAACACGUGGGUGACCUGCCCUCAGCUCUGGGAUAAGCCUGGGAAACCGGGUCUAAUACCGGAUAUGACUCCAUGACGCAUGUUGUGGGGUGGAAAGCCUUGUGCGGCUGAGGAUGGGCCCGCGGCCUAUCAGCUUGUUGGUGGGGUGAUGGCCUACCAAGGCGACGACGGGUAGCCGGCCUGAGAGGGCGACCGGCCACACUGGGACUGAGACACGGCCCAGACUCCUACGGGAGGCAGCAGUGGGGAAUCUUGCGCAAUGGGCGAAAGCCUGACGCAGCGACGCCGCGUGAGGGAUGACGGCCU